Molecule: ribosomal RNA, 280 nt
Filed under: uncultured Ascomycota
Lineage: Eukaryota; Fungi; Ascomycota
Description: partial 18S ribosomal RNA
Rfam family: Eukaryotic small subunit ribosomal RNA
Source: RNAcentral
UUGGAGGGCAAGUCUGGUGCCAGCAGCCGCGGUAAUUCCAGCUCCAAUAGCGUAUAUUAAAGUUGUUGUGGUUAAAAAGCUCGUAGUUGAACCUUGGGCCUGGCUGGCCGGUCCGCCUCACCGCGUGUACUGGUCCGGCCGGGUCUUUCCCUCUGUGGAACCCCAUGCCCUUCACUGGGUGUGGCGGGGAAACAGGACUUUUACUUUGAAAAAAUUAGAGUGCUCCAGGCAGGCCUAUGCUCGAAUACAUUAGCAUGGAAUAAUGAAAUAGGACGUGCGG